RNAcentral lists this ribosomal RNA (280 nucleotides) under uncultured Pseudomonadota bacterium. Its description in RNAcentral is "uncultured proteobacterium partial 16S ribosomal RNA". It matches the Rfam family "Bacterial small subunit ribosomal RNA", at positions 338 to 635 of the family's 1533-position model. The record is from RNAcentral. Lineage: Bacteria; Pseudomonadati; Pseudomonadota.
CCUACGGGGGGCAGCAGUGGGGAAUAUUGGACAAUGGGCGAAAGCCUGAUCCAGCAAUGCCGCGUGAGUGAUGAAGGCCUUCGGGUCGUAAAGCUCUUUUACCAGGGAUGAUAAUGACAGUACCUGGAGAAUAAGCUCCGGCUAACUCCGUGCCAGCAGCCGCGGUAAUACGGAGGGAGCUAGCGUUGUUCGGAAUUACUGGGCGUAAAGAGUACGUAGGCGGCUAUUCAAGUCAGAGGUGAAAGCCCGGGGCUCAACCCCGGAACUGCCUUUGAAACUA